This 1758-nucleotide long non-coding RNA is filed under the name Homo sapiens (human). RNAcentral's name for it is "HSALNT0019661". Lineage: Eukaryota; Metazoa; Chordata; Mammalia; Primates; Hominidae. The record is from RNAcentral.
UGCCUUGUGAAGAAGGUAGCUGCUUCUGCUUUGCCUUCCGCCAUGACUGUAAGUUUCAUGAAGCCUCCCCAGGCACGCAGAACUGAGACAGUGAAUGGUGAACACAUGAAAGGUGGCUUUUAAAGUUUUCCUUAAAGAGCCUCAGCAAUGUCAUGAAAUUGCUUCAGAAGAGGAUGGCUCUCUUCAGAAAGCAAGAAAAAGGGGAUGGAAUGUGAAUAAAAAGAAGAAAUGAAGGAAUACUGAAGACUAUAUAAAACAAAAGGCCUUUGAAGAAGGGACUGACAUCCUGAAGAGUGCAUAGCUAUUUGCUUAAGAAGGAGGCAUUGCAUUCCAUCUAAAUGUUCAUUUAGACCACAUAGUAAAAUAAAGAUAGUAAAAUAAAGAAUUUACUUCCACUGUGUUUAGUGGAUAUAGACUUUUGCUUUAGCUCAGAAUCUCUCUGUCACACAGAAAAAGCUCAACCUUAAAUUAUAGUUUAGAAGAUCUACCAUGACCAUGGCCCUGAAUUCAAACCCUAGAACUGACUUUCUGAGAGACCAUAUGUAGAAUCCAUUUGUAUUUCUCCCUUUUUAAUUCAUUGUCACCUUUGGAAAAUGGGACUUGUGUUGAUGCAUUAAUUCAAAACCAAGCUCAAGAAAAAUGGGGAAAGUUUCAUAAACAUUUUGCAAAUGGAAAUUGGAAAAUAACUCUGGCCUUAAUUCCACAAAGACCAUAUAGGAAUGUGGAAAUGUUUGAGGUAAUGAGAAAAGAAGUUUGCAUUGUACAUACAAUAUGACUACAGCUCAGAAAAAAAGAAGGAAUAAUUGACACAAUAGAGACAAUGACUAAUUUCUUUCUUUGUGAUAUAAUUCAUACAAUCUUGAAAAGGCAAUAGAGUAAAAAACAAAUUGUUACACAGUAGUGUCUUCCACCUUCAGUUCGUCAAGUUCUCACCCAACCUACAGUUUGAAAAUAUUGAGGUGGCAGCUUUCUUGUACUCACCAUACAUCAGAGGGAACCUCUGCUCUGACACAGGGAAGAUGAGAUGCUGCUUUUUUUUUUUUCCUUUUUCAGUUCCAGCUCAAAGAAGAGAUGAGAUUCUUCAGAGAAGAAACUGGGGGCAAUUUCAUACAUUAACAUGGCUUUAUCCCACUUGUAUAUACCCAUUUCUAUUAAUAACUCCUUUAACCCCAAUUUCGGUAUAGAAUUAAAGCCCAGAUCACAAAGAAUCUCCUAAGGAGUAUGUUUUAAGUAGCUCCAGGAAGAUAUGCUUCCCAGUUAUUUCAGUUGUUGAGAAGUUAUUCUUUUGUCCUAAGAACACCCUUUCCUAAAAGUCUUCUUUUAAAAUGUAAAUAAUCCUAAAGUUAUUUACAUUUUAAGGUUAUUUAAGAGUGGCAAUCUGAUGUUAAGAACAUUCUGCUUCUUCCUCUCUUAACUCUAGAUCUCUCGCCCAGACUACUGCACCCACUGUUCUAACCAGACUUCCUGCCUCCAGUUCCUCCACUUUCUAAACUAUCUUCUACUAUGUCACUCAUUCUCUUUCUAAAUCUCAGAUUAGGUGUAAUAUUCACAUGCUAAAACCCAUUGCCUAGAGCAAAUUUUCUUUCAAAUUGAGGUCACAAUCCUCUUGGCAGAUCAUAACGGACACAGAAUAGAAUGAAUGGGAAUAGAAAAUAUCAGUGUUUCACAUAUUGAAAGAGUAAAUGUUUCAUAAAUAUCAGUGUUUCACAAAUUGAAAGGGUAAAUGUUUCACACAUACCAGCAUUUUACAAAUUGAAA